CGCGGCCUAUCAGCUUGUUGGUGAGGUAAUGGCUCACCAAGGCAUCGACGGGUAGCUGGUCUGAGAGGACGAUCAGCCACACUGGGACUGAGACACGGCCCAGACUCCUACGGGAGGCAGCAGUAGGGAAUCUUGCGCAAUGGGCGAAAGCCUGACGCAGCAACGCCGCGUGGGGGAUGAAUGCCUUCGGGUUGUAAACCCCUUUCAGCAGGGACGAAAAUGACGGUACCUGCAGAAGAAGCUCCGGCCAACUACGUGCCAGCAGCCGCGGUAAUACGUAGGGAGCGAGCGUUGUCCGGAAUUAUUGGGCGUAAAGAGCUCGUAGGCGGUUCAGUAAGUCGGGUGUGAAAACUCAAGGCUCAACCUUGAGACGCCACUCGAUACUGCUGUGACUUGAGUCCGGUAGAGGAGUGUGGAAUUCCUGGUGUAGCGGUGAAAUGCGCAGAUAUCAGGAGGAACACCAGCGGCGAAGGCGGCACUCUGGGCCGGUACUGACGCUGAGGAGCGAAAGCAUGGGGAGCAAACAGGAUUAGAUACCCUGGUAGUCCAUGCCGUAAACGUUGGGCACUAGGUAUGGGAUCAUAUCAACGGAUUCCGUGCCGUAGCUAACGCAUUAAGUGCCCCGCCUGGGGAGUACGG
Molecule: ribosomal RNA, 639 nt
Filed under: uncultured Actinomycetes bacterium
Lineage: Bacteria; Bacillati; Actinomycetota; Actinomycetes
Description: bacterial SSU rRNA
Rfam family: Bacterial small subunit ribosomal RNA
Source: RNAcentral